GACGAACGCUGGCGGCGUGCUUAACACAUGCAAGUCGAACGGAAAGGCUCCAGCUUGCUGGAGUACUCGAGUGGCGAACGGGUGAGUAACACGUGGGUAAUCUGCCCUGCACUCUGGGAUAAGCCUGGGAAACUGGGUCUAAUACUGGAUAUGACCUUUCUCCUUAUGGGGUUUGGUGGGAAGUUUUUCGGUGUAGGAUGAGCCCGCGGCCUAUCAGCUUGUUGGUGGGGUGAUGGCCUACCAAGGCGACGACGGGUAGCCGGCCUGAGAGGGUGAUCGGCCACAUUGGGACUGAGAUACGGCCCAGACUCCUACGGGAGGCAGCAGUGGGGAAUAUUGCACAAUGGGCGGAAGCCUGAUGCAGCGACGCCGCGUGAGGGAUGACGGCCUUCGGGUUGUAAACCUCUUUCAGCAGGGACGAAGCGUAAGUGACGGUACCUGCAGAAGAAGCACCGGCUAACUAUGUG
RNAcentral lists this ribosomal RNA (467 nucleotides) under uncultured bacterium. RNAcentral describes it as "partial 16S ribosomal RNA". It matches the Rfam family "Bacterial small subunit ribosomal RNA", at positions 28 to 507 of the family's 1533-position model. The record is from RNAcentral.